Colobus angolensis palliatus is the source of this 283-nucleotide unclassified non-coding RNA. It matches the Rfam family "Metazoan signal recognition particle RNA". Rfam says of the family: The signal recognition particle (SRP) is a universally conserved ribonucleoprotein. It is involved in the co-translational targeting of proteins to membranes. The eukaryotic SRP consists of a 300-nucleotide 7S RNA and six proteins: SRPs 72, 68, 54, 19, 14, and 9. The record is from Ensembl. Lineage: Eukaryota; Metazoa; Chordata; Mammalia; Primates; Cercopithecidae.
GCUGGGUGUGGUGGCACUGGCCUGCAGUCCCAGCUACUCAGGAGGGGAGGCUGAGACUGGAGGAUCACUUGAGCCCAGAGUUCUGGGCUAUAGUGUACUAUGCCGGGUGUCUGCACUGAAUCUGGCGUUGAUAUGGUAACCUCCCAGAAACAAGGGACCACCAGGUUUCCUAAGAAGAAGUGGACUAGCCCAGGCUGGGAACAAAACAGGUCGAAACUCCCAUGCUGAUCCUGUGAAUAGCCACUGAACUCCAGCCUGGACAACAUAGCCAGACCCCGUCUCU